RNAcentral lists this ribosomal RNA (1026 nucleotides) under Chryseobacterium lactis. Its description in RNAcentral is "bacterial SSU rRNA". It matches the Rfam family "Bacterial small subunit ribosomal RNA", at positions 61 to 1092 of the family's 1533-position model. The record is from RNAcentral. Lineage: Bacteria; Pseudomonadati; Bacteroidota; Flavobacteriia; Flavobacteriales; Weeksellaceae.
GCCGAGCGGUAGAAGAUCUUCGGAUCUUUGAGAGCGGCGCACGGGUGCGGAACACGUGUGCAACCUGCCUUUAUCAGGGGGAUAGCCUUUCGAAAGGAAGAUUAAUACCCCAUAAUAUAAUGACUGGCAUCAGUUAUUAUUGAAAACUCCGGUGGAUAGAGAUGGGCACGCGCAAGAUUAGAUAGUUGGUGAGGUAACGGCUCACCAAGUCUGCGAUCUUUAGGGGGCCUGAGAGGGUGAUCCCCCACACUGGUACUGAGACACGGACCAGACUCCUACGGGAGGCAGCAGUGAGGAAUAUUGGACAAUGGGUGAGAGCCUGAUCCAGCCAUCCCGCGUGAAGGACGACGGCCCUAUGGGUUGUAAACUUCUUUUGUAUAGGGAUAAACCUACUCUCGUGAGAGUAGCUGAAGGUACUAUACGAAUAAGCACCGGCUAACUCCGUGCCAGCAGCCGCGGUAAUACGGAGGGUGCAAGCGUUAUCCGGAUUUAUUGGGUUUAAAGGGUCCGUAGGCUGAUUUGUAAGUCAGUGGUGAAAUCUCACAGCUCAACUGUGAAACUGCCAUUGAUACUGCAAGUCUUGAGUGUUGUUGAAGUAGCUGGAAUAAGUAGUGUAGCGGUGAAAUGCAUAGAUAUUACUUAGAACACCAAUUGCGAAGGCAGGUUACUAAGCAACAACUGACGCUGAUGGACGAAAGCGUGGGGAGCGAACAGGAUUAGAUACCCUGGUAGUCCACGCCGUAAACGAUGCUAACUCGUUUUUGGGUUUUCGGAUUCAGAGACUAAGCGAAAGUGAUAAGUUAGCCACCUGGGGAGUACGUUCGCAAGAAUGAAACUCAAAGGAAUUGACGGGGGCCCGCACAAGCGGUGGAUUAUGUGGUUUAAUUCGAUGAUACGCGAGGAACCUUACCAAGGCUUAAAUGGGAAUUGACAGGUUUAGAAAUAGACUUUUCUUCGGACAAUUUUCAAGGUGCUGCAUGGGUUGUCGUCAGCUCGUGCCGUGAGGUGUUAGGUUAAGUCCUGCAA